Sus scrofa (pig) is the source of this 1063-nucleotide non-coding RNA. Lineage: Eukaryota; Metazoa; Chordata; Mammalia; Artiodactyla; Suidae. The record is from RefSeq and is a predicted model, not a curated record.
GCCCUGCGCUUCCCCGCCGGGUUCUAGAGCACCCCUAAUCUCCAUAGCCCCAUUCCUGGGCGGACUAGCCCCGCCCCACCCAAGCCCCGCCCACCGGUUCCCGGCUGAGCGUCUCAAUCCUGGGGACCUGCCGACCCAUCUUCGCCCAAAGGGACCCCGCCCGGUGCAGGUCCGCUCCAGGGCGUCCCCCGCCCUGUCACCCGUCACCUCAGGGAACCAGCCCCCUACACGGAGGCAGAAACAGAAAGAUGGAGUGACAAAAAGCUUCUUGCUCUCCUUUGUAAUUAUCCCUAUUUUUCCGGCGAGUAAACUGAGUCUUAGAGGAAGAAGUGUCCAAUGUCAUGAGACCAGUGAAUAAAGGGCUGGUACUGGAACCCCAUCCUCUCUCCCUCCUCGGUUCAGGGCGCCGCACUGGAGCCUGGAGACAGCGCGCGCUACCGUGUUGUCACUCAAAGGCCGGGGCAGCCGGAGGGAAGAGCGUGUCCCCUCUCUGGGGUCACAAGCCCCAAGUUCACUGAAGGAGGCUGCGUUCGGCUUGUUAUCGGUGAUUCCUUCCCUCCAAACCUGGAGCACCUUCCUGAGCAUUACCUCAUUUUGCCUCAUUCUAACUAAGGCCGGGUUAGGAGGGACUUACAGCAAAGUCGGUGACUGAGCCUGGAGUCAGAGCUUCAAAUGCUCAAUGGUCGCUGCCCCUCACACCUGCUGCCAAUAUAGAAUGAAAAUGGGGUGGUGAUUGGAUUGUGCACUCCAAGCUGUGACACUCUAAAGAGGAAGAUCCGUAGGAGGAGGAGAAAGAGUGAACACGGAUGGGGAAGCGUGGAGUGGGAGUGGUUACUUAGCUCAGGCGAAACACUUCAGUCGCACCCUUCAGAAUACACAGGGCUUCAGAAUAGCCUUCAGAAUGAAUGUAGGGUUCUGGCGAUAGGCAUCUACCCCUAACAUUGUUUUUCCAAACAAUGAGACUGCGUGCGCACUUCCAAAAACAAACCAACCAAAAAACCUGGAGUAAGCGCCAGAGUGGUUGGAAGUGAUGGGGUUAACCCGGGAGAGCUUCGCGGAGGAG